GCGUAGGGUAUGUAGACUGUGAAUGUAAGAAUUAAAGGAAAUCCUUGGGGGGUCCCCAUUGACCUUUAAUUGAAAAUUUCACUUGAAUCAGAGAGGGGCUUUGGUAUUUUUAUGGAGGGGUUAAAUAUGAGAUAUAAAAAGGACCGACAGUGGUUAAUGCAAUUUCCUGGUCUGUAUUGACGUUAAGGUACGAAAGCAUAGGGAGCAAAACAGAUUAGAGACCUGUGUAGUCUAUGCUGUCAACGCUGAGUUUUCAGUGUUAGGAAUGUGAAAUACAAGCCAUAAUUUUUUUUUAAUAAAAAAUAAAAAUUAAGCUAAGGAUGAUAAAAAUUUAUAUUUUUACUAUAAGAGGAUAGGAAAUCCUUAUUGUAAACAUAUCAAAUAUGUACAAGUAUUUCGGGCUUUCUUGGUGCUUGAGUAACGCGUUAAAUUCUCCGCUGGGUAGUAUGGCCGCAGGUUGAAACUCAAAAGAAUUGAGGUGACUUGUACGAGG
RNAcentral lists this ribosomal RNA (493 nucleotides) under Arcyria affinis. RNAcentral's name for it is "partial small subunit ribosomal RNA". It matches the Rfam family "Bacterial small subunit ribosomal RNA", at positions 558 to 930 of the family's 1533-position model. The record is from RNAcentral. Lineage: Eukaryota; Evosea; Eumycetozoa; Trichiida; Trichiidae.